AGCAUCUGUGAGUCAUGAGUCUGGGCACCACUUAGCUGAGUCCUCUGUUUGGGGUCUAAAGGGCUGCAAUCAAGAUGCUGGCUGGGAUGUGCUCUCACCUGGUGGCUUGACUGGUUUUACUUUCUACAAUUCAGUACCUGCAGUCAACCAUGGUCUGGAAGUAGAUGACCCUCCUGACUAUCUUCAGAAGGUUAAUAGCAGCCUGAUGCUACAUCACAUAUCUACAUCACCCACCUCGCUUCCUCUCAUCAUGUAGGCAUUUUAUCAUCUGACGUCAUCACCAGAAGGAUGAGUGCAGUACAAGAAGAUGUAUUGAGAGAGAGAGAGACCACAUUCACCUGUUAUUAUAGGCUGGAUGGGGAGCAGAAAUGAAGGAAGCUGAUCAAGGAUGUAACAGCUAAAUAUGUUCAUAUGACUACAUUUUGACCAUUGGCUGACAAGUGGAAAUGUGCAUGGUGCCUUGGAAACACUGAUGAAGAAAACUGAUUCAGCUGCUAAGCAUACCUUUUUGUCUUCCCCUGACUCAUUUCUGCACUGCAGUCUGGAAUAUUGAUGUAAUGGUUGGAGCUCCAGCAGCUGCCUUAAACUAUGAGGUAACUCAGAGCCAGAGGAGAAAGAUAGAAACGGCUUGCCUCUGCCUUCCUGAAAACUUGGUGCGACUGCCAUAUUGGGCCAGAGUGUCCACUUCAGGGAUUCUUUUAUGAGAGAAAGAGUGACGUCUGAAGUAUUUAAGCCAGUGUAGUGGGCUUUAAAUACCUAACCAAUAUAAAUUGGAAUCUUGGGGCCCCUGGGUGGCUCAGUCGAUUAAGCAUCUGCCUUAGGCUCAGGUCAUGAUCCCAGAGUCCUGGGAUCGAGCACUGUUGAGUCCCUGCUGAGCAGAAGACUGCUUCUGUCGCUCU
This is a long non-coding RNA of Canis lupus familiaris (dog), 899 nucleotides long. RefSeq lists it as uncharacterized. The transcript has 4 exons. Lineage: Eukaryota; Metazoa; Chordata; Mammalia; Carnivora; Canidae. The record is from RefSeq and is a predicted model, not a curated record.